RNAcentral lists this long non-coding RNA (1245 nucleotides) under Homo sapiens (human). Its description in RNAcentral is "novel transcript". The record is from RNAcentral. Lineage: Eukaryota; Metazoa; Chordata; Mammalia; Primates; Hominidae.
GUGAAAGGGUAAGAGCUGAGGGUGGCUGAGACUCGGGGUUGUUCAGGGCGGGGUGGGCUCUGGACCCAGGAGGCCUGGCACCCAGAGGAGCUCUACGGUGACUUUGAAGACUUGGAAACAGGGGACAUGCACAAGGGAAAAUCGGGCCCCGACACUCAGAAUGAAGAUAUAGAGAAACAAGGAAGAAAUUGACCCCGACGAAGAAGAAAGUGCCAAGAAAAAGCAUUUGGAUAAGAAGAGAAAAUUGAAGGAGAUGUUUGAUGCGGAAUAUGAUGAAGGAGAAAGCACAUAUUUUGAUGAUCUUAAAGGAGAAAUGCAGAAAGAAGCACAGCUGAAUCACGUAGAAUUUGAAGAUCAAGAUGAUGAAGCCAGAGUUCAGUAUGAUGGUUUUCGACCUGGGAUGUACGUCCGCGUUGAGAUUGAAAAUGUUCCCUGUGAAUUUGUGCAGAACUUUGACCCCCAUUACCCCAUUAUCCUGGGUGGCUUGGGCAACAGCGAGGGAAAUGUUGGACACGUGCAGAUGCGUCUGAAGAAACAUCGCUGGUAUAAGAAAAUCCUCAAGUCCCAAGAUCCAAUCAUAUUUUCUGUAGGGUGGAGGAGGUUUCAGACCAUCCUGCUCUAUUAUAUUGAAGACCACAAUGGAAGACAAAGGCUUCUAAAGUAUACCCCACAGCACAUGCAUUGUGGAGCAGCCUUUUGGGCCUGAUUUUCGGAUAGCUGCCACAGGAGUUGUCCUUGAUCUGGAUAAAUCCAUAAAAAUUGUGAAGAAAUUAAAGCUAACUGGUUUUCCAUAUAAAAUUUUCAAGAACACUUCAUUUAUUAAGAUAUUGUCUUCAUGCGAACUUGGUAUCCUGUUUCCAUCCCAGCCUUCUAUAACCCAGUAACAUCUUUGUUGAAACCAGUGGGUGAGAAAGACACCUGGUCAGGAAUGUGGACCACGGGCCACCUCGGGCUCGCCCAUGGUGUCAGACUAAAGACAAACAAGGACUCUCUGUAUAAGGUACUGGUCGUGUGUGUGUUAGUGGAGAUGAAGCCUGUGCCCUACAGACAGGGAGUCACGCAGACACUUUUCUAUAAUUUCUUACGUACUUUGAAUGUUCAAGUAUAAAGUCUAAUGUUAAAUUUGAUUGAACAAUUGUAUAUUUGUGGGAUAUUUUGGAAUGGAACACCAAAAAAUGGUAAUAGUGGUUCUUUCUGGAUUGAAGACAAACUUUUCUUUUUUAAAAUAAAUUUUAUUUUAUAUAU